Molecule: ribosomal RNA, 468 nt
Filed under: uncultured bacterium
Lineage: Bacteria
Description: partial 16S ribosomal RNA
Rfam family: Bacterial small subunit ribosomal RNA
Source: RNAcentral
GACGAACGCUGGCGGCGUGCUUAACACAUGCAAGUCGAACGGAAAGGCCCUGCUUUUGUGGGGUGCUCGAGUGGCGAACGGGUAAGUAACACGUGAGUAACCUGCCCUUGACUUUGGGAUAACGUCAGGGAACUGGGGAUAAUACCGGAUAGGAGCUCCUGCUGCAGGGUGGGGGUUGGAAAGUUUAGGCGGUUGGGGAUGGACUCGCGGCUUAUCAGCUUGUGGGUGGGGUAGUGGCUUCCCAAGGCUUGGACGGGUAGCCGGCCUGAGAGGGUGACCGGCCACAUGGGGACUGAGAUACGGCCCAGACUCCUACGGGAGGCAGCAGGCGGGAAUAUUGCACAGUGGGCGGAAGCCCAGUGCAGCAACGCCGCGUGCGGGAUCACGGCCUUUGGGGUGUAAACCGCUUUUGCCUGUGACGAAGCGUGAGUGACGGUAAUGGGUAAAGAAGCACCGGCUAACUACGUG